Molecule: ribosomal RNA, 492 nt
Filed under: uncultured bacterium
Lineage: Bacteria
Description: partial 16S ribosomal RNA
Rfam family: Bacterial small subunit ribosomal RNA
Source: RNAcentral
AGUGAACGCUGGCGGUAGGCCUAACACAUGCAAGUCGAACGGCAGCACAGUAAGAGCUUGCUCUUACGGGUGGCGAGUGGCGGACGGGUGAGGAAUACAUCGGAAUCUACUUUUUCAUGGGGGAUAACGUAGGGAAACUUACGCUAAUACCGCAUACGACCUACGGGUGAAAGCAGGGGAUCUUCGGACCUUGCGCGAUUGAAUGAGCCGAUGUCGGAUUAGCUAGUUGGCGAGGUAAAGGCCCACCAAGGCGACGAUCCGUAGCUGGUCUGAGAGGAUGAUCAGCCACACUGGAACUGAGACACGGUCCAGACUCCUACGGGAGGCAGCAGUGGGGAAUAUUGGACAAUGGGCGCAAGCCUGAUCCAGCCAUACCGCGUGGGUGAAGAAGGCCUUCGGGUUGUAAAGCCCUUUUGUUGGGAAAGAAAAGCAGCAGGUUAAUACCCCGCUGUUCUGACGGUACCCAAAGAAUAAGCACCGGCUAACUUCGUG